This is a long non-coding RNA of Panicum hallii, 508 nucleotides long. RefSeq lists it as uncharacterized. Lineage: Eukaryota; Viridiplantae; Streptophyta; Magnoliopsida; Poales; Poaceae. The record is from RefSeq and is a predicted model, not a curated record. The transcript has 3 exons.
CUAACAUUUUAAAGAAUAUUGAUUUGUUAGUUCUUUUGCAUCUCUUUUACAGAAACUGAAUCCAGUUUCUGCUCUCUGUGCGUUUCAUGAAACUAAGUAAGAAAUGAAAAAAACCCAGUACGAGCUGGAAAGGGAUGAAAGGGUAAGGGAGGUCCAGGAACUUUUUGCGUCUCUGGGUAUUCCAAUACUAGCUCAGGAUGUUAGAGAUGUUUUUUCCAAAAAGGAAAAGUGCAUGGGGAAGACAAUAGAGUCUGACAAUGAAUAUGACCCAUCCUCUGACAUUGAUAACCAAUGUGACAGUGAUGAUGACUACGAUGAUGACCUAAAUAAUGAGGAUAAUACUGAGGUACGAGCGAUGGUUCCAGGAACUCGCCCUAAGAAGCAAAAGACGGCACAAAUGGCGGCUGCAAACCAGCUGCCACUGUGCUCGCCUACCAAAUUUACUAGGAAACAGGCAGCCAGGCCUACUCGAGGCCGUCCACCACCUAGGGAUGCAAACCAGCUGCCA